This is a ribosomal RNA of Danio rerio (zebrafish), 133 nucleotides long. Lineage: Eukaryota; Metazoa; Chordata; Actinopteri; Cypriniformes; Danionidae. The record is from Ensembl.
GCCAGCACCUAAGCUUUUUCAUCAUAGUACACGCGCUGCUGAUGAUGUGACAAUAAAACUGCAGAUAAGCAGGGCUGCGCCCGGUCAGUUCCUGGAUGGGAGACCACAUGGGAAAGCUAGGUUGCUGCGGGAA